UAGCAGAACCCCAAGUGGUAGUCGUUAUUAUUGGGUUUAAAGUGUUCGUAGCCGGCCGUACAAGUCUGCUGUGAAAUCCAUGCGCUCAACGUAUGGACAUGCAGCGGAUACUGUACUGGCUAGGGACCGGACGGCGUCGAGGCUAUUCUCAGGGUAGGGGUGAAAUCCUAAAAUCCUGAGAGGAGCACCUGUGGCGGAAGCGCUCGACGAGUACGGAUCCGACGGUGAGGAACGAAAGCUAGGGGAGCAA
Molecule: ribosomal RNA, 250 nt
Filed under: uncultured Nanohalarchaeota archaeon
Lineage: Archaea; Nanobdellati; Candidatus Nanohalarchaeota
Description: uncultured Nanohaloarchaeota archaeon partial 16S ribosomal RNA
Rfam family: Archaeal small subunit ribosomal RNA
Source: RNAcentral